Long non-coding RNA from Xenopus laevis (African clawed frog), 2489 nucleotides. RefSeq lists it as uncharacterized. The transcript is spliced from 8 exons. NCBI's taxonomy places the organism in Eukaryota, Metazoa, Chordata, Amphibia, Anura, Pipidae. The record is from RefSeq and is a predicted model, not a curated record.
AUUGUGUCUGAGGGAUGUGUGUACUGUGUACUUGUAUUCUGUGUGUCUUAUUUCUAUCUAUGCAUAUUUGUGUGCAGUUAGUGUGUAAUUACUAAAGUGCCUGUGUAUGUAAGUACUUAUGUACUGUAUGGACUUCACAGAAUAUGUGAAGUUGAAUGUGUGUAAUUUGGGUUUGUGUGCAUGUGUUGUGUGGGUAUAUGUGUGUGUGGCUUACUGUGUGUGUAAUGAUUAUAUAUAAUGUGUAUAAUUAUGUUGAUAAUGUCAAGGCUUGAUGUGUGUUGUUGUGAGUUUAUUUUGGGGGAAGUUUAUGGAAUAGUUGUGCUGUUUGUAGUGUAUGUUAAAUAUAGAAUGCACCGGUGCAUAGAUGUGUGAAUUUGUGUUUGUAUGUGUGUGUUUAUUAAUGAACGGCUGUAUAUGAAUGAGAGUGCAUGAGUGUAUAAGCCUCAUGAUGCCCCAGGGGCAGUGACAGUGUGGCCCCUAUUGUGUCCCUCUGAACUGCCAAGUCAAUGCAAUCUUUAACCACUGGCUUGUGGUCCUGUGGAAAUCACAAGGGGUUGUCAGAGUUGGCUCCUCUGCAAACUGUACAAGUGCUAAAUCAGAGCAUAUGCUGCUGAGACAGAAAACGCUGAAGAUUGGAGUAAGUACAGUAUCUGCGCGCCCCCUAGCGUAAGGCUCUAGCCAGCCUGCCACCAAACCUGCAACGAGUGGGGGGGAAAAAAAAAAUAUCUCAAUUACUUUUUUGGCUGCCUCCUGCGAGCGCGACCAAGAAACUUUCUACGAAUAUUAAUGUGAUUAAGGAUCAGCGACGAAGCUGAAUGACUGGAGCGCUCCAGCGUCAGGGCGCGCUUUGUCCAUCUUGCGGCGUCAUUGCUGCGGAUCCAGGGCUGUGUGUUGUGUGACUGAGACAAGCAGUGCGGCCACUGGAUACGAUUAGAAGCCAUGGCACAUCAGCAGAAGCACACAAUGCCGUCCGGACACAAGGAGAAGCGGAGACAAGAGCUGAGAGAGCUUCAUGCCUAAGGAUGCUGGGGGAGCCCAUGACAAACAGCAGCAGGGGGGACCCAAGUUGGAUAUACCUGCCAUUGCUUCAAAAGACUAGACCAUCAACGAUAAGUCCUGGGCAAACCACCAGCAGCUGAAUUAAAACUGACCAACAUCGGCCAGCAGCAAUUACAUAUUUCCACUUGGAAAUCAUGGGACUUUUAUCAACUUCCUGCCAAAUUUCAGCACUUAAUCAAUGGUACAGGCCUUCCCUGCUGACAGAAUGGAACAGGAAGACUGAAAGAUAGGCAAAUUUUUUUUCGAUUCAAGCAAAAUCAGCACAGGGCUCAAUGAAACAUAUUUCCACGCUGGUUUCUCGCUGCUACGCUGAAGACUAUCGCAGAACGGAAAUACUGAAGGUCGGCGUCUAAAGCGAGAGCAAGAUACACGAUUAUAAAAAUGGAUUCCACGUAUCUCACCAACAGACAGUAAGAAACACGUCACUUUUUAGCCAAGAUAUCCCCAGCAUGAGUGUAUUGUGGAUCCCUGCAUUCCAGCUGUGGUUUGGCGACUUCUAUUCCGGUCCUGGCGCUUUCUCUUGACACCACCAUGCAUUUGGAAAGCACUAAAGUAUUAAUCCGACAUAUGGAAGUGUGUCGCCUACCUGAACAGGACUUGUACCUAAGACAGAACCCUGCUAUAAGAUGAAAGGAGAUUAUUCAAUGAUCUAUAGUGAGGAUUCCUGUGUUCCUGGAGUGCAUAGAAAAAGCAGACUAUGACUUGCCUCUGGAAGAUCAAGGUCAACAGCCACAUCCACAUAAAAGAGAAAUGAAGAACUGAAAGCUUUGCAGGUCUUUACAUGAUUUCUACCUCCCAGAUUGCUUUAGCAGUUCACGGAAUGGAGACUCGUUUAAAGGCGAAGAAAACAACUUUCAUGCAGAAAACGCACAUUUUAAAAAUGUACUUUGGUACUUACUGUGAUAGGGGGCAGGCCACACCCCUCUGGAAAUGGGAAUAAUCAAACACACGACUCUGUUAUAAACACCGGGGUUACAGUUAUGUGCCAGGCAAGGAUUUGUGUGUUGUAGUCAAGCUCUAUAUGUUUUAAAUUAAAAUAACUUACUCAAGGUCACCCAAGGCAUAUGGUCCUGCUCAGAACAUUAAACAAAACAUUCGUUUUUACAACCUUUUGUAAUUUGGGAUUGUAUACAACAAGGGCCUUUAGCCGAGUUUCUGUAAUCUUUUCACUGGGUGACAGAAAUAUGAGAAUCAAAUUUUAAAACCAUUUAGGGAAACUUUCAAUCGAUUUCAUGCAUCGGGAUGAACAGCGAUGGGUCCCGCUUAAUCCGGCUGUGUUUGGUCUUUGUUUUUCCUUUUAAACAAACCAUUCAGAACUGAAAAGAAAAAGAGAUUUACUCCAAGGGUCAUUUAAUUUACUUCUUAAAUCUGUUUCAGCUUUGAAUUCUCCCAGUAACAGUAAUCUGAAUGCUGCAUCAGAAACACAAAAG